Molecule: ribosomal RNA, 498 nt
Filed under: uncultured bacterium
Lineage: Bacteria
Description: partial 16S ribosomal RNA
Rfam family: Bacterial small subunit ribosomal RNA
Source: RNAcentral
AUUGAACGCUGGCGGCAUGCCUUACACAUGCAAGUCGAACGGUAACAGGUCUUCGGAUGCUGACGAGUGGCGAACGGGUGAGUAAUACAUCGGAACGUGCCUAGUAGUGGGGGAUAACUACUCGAAAGAGUGGCUAAUACCGCAUGAGAUCUACGGAUGAAAGCAGGGGAUAGCAAGACCUUGUGCUACUAGAGCGGCCGAUGGCAGAUUAGGUAGUUGGUGGGAUAAAAGCUUACCAAGCCGACGAUCGGUAGCUGGUCUGAGAGGACGAUCAGCCACACUGGGACUGAGACACGGCCCAGACUCCUACGGGAGGCAGCAGUGGGGAAUUUUGGACAAUGGGCGCAAGCCUGACCCAGCAAUGCCGCGUGCAGGAUGAAGGCCUUCGGGUUGUAAACUGCUUUUGUACGGAACGAAAAGCCCCGGGUUAAUACCCUGGGGUCAUGACGGUACCGUAAGAAUAAGCACCGGCUAACUACGUGCCAGCCGCCGCGGUAA